GUUGCCCACCAGCCUUAUUCUGUGGCUUUGUAUUGUGUAAAAGAGUUCAAUUACAUUUUAUAGAUAAGUCAGGGAUUUCAUUCUUAACUGGUUGUCAGACCUGGUGUUCUGCAUUAGUAUGUAUAAUAAGUGAUUUGAUGAAUCUCUACCCCGUGACAAUCUAGUGGUGGCUAAAAGAGAUGUAGGCUACAUAGCAAAGAUGGGUCAAGUGAAGAUGUGAUAACUGCAACCCCAAAUCUGCAAAACCUGACCAGUUGCCAAACUGGAAACGUGGAUGAGGCACGUGAAGAUGAUAUGGUGGCCAUAACUCCAAAUCUGUGGAAUUCAUACAUCAGCUGAAGUAACUUACCGUCUACAGUGUUGCACCCUCUAGUCAGCCCAGACUUGGUGCCACUAGGAACUGCUCGGCGAUCUCCUGAGCUGGGUGACGUGACCAAGGUGCAUUAGGGGCAGCCUGGAGCCUAAGGUCAUCUGCAUCCCUUGGAGGGAGAUGGGGGAAGGCUUGAGCACUGGUAUCUUUGACUGCUCUUUGUUGGUCCAGACUUUCUUGACGGCGGCCCCCAGAACCAUGACCUGAAAGACAAACAGGGUGGCCAACCACACCUCCCUGAUGACUGCGGAGUGGGCUUGCACCUUUUGCAGCUAUUUAGACAGUAA
Long non-coding RNA from Alosa alosa (allis shad), 657 nucleotides. RefSeq lists it as uncharacterized. The record is from RefSeq and is a predicted model, not a curated record. The transcript has 3 exons. Lineage: Eukaryota; Metazoa; Chordata; Actinopteri; Clupeiformes; Clupeidae.